This 398-nucleotide ribosomal RNA is filed under the name uncultured bacterium. Its description in RNAcentral is "partial 16S ribosomal RNA". It matches the Rfam family "Bacterial small subunit ribosomal RNA", at positions 360 to 776 of the family's 1533-position model. The record is from RNAcentral.
AAUAUUGCACAAUGGAGGAAACUCUGAUGCAGCGACGCAGCGUGAGUGAAGCAGGCCUGCGGAUCGUAAAACUCUGUCCUUGGUGCAGAUAAUGACGGUCGCCAAGGAGGAAGCCCCGGCUAAUUACGUUCCAGCAGCCGCGGUAAUACGUAGGGGGCUAGCGUUGUCCGGAUUUACUGGGCGUAAAGGGUGAGUAGGCGGUUAUGUAUGUCAGAUGUAAAAGGUGUGGGCUUAACUUACGUUAGCAUUUGAAACUGCAUAACUUGAGUGCGGGAGAGGUAAGUGGAAUUCCUAGUGUAGCGGUGAAAUGCGUAGAUAUUAGGAGGAACACCAGUGGCGAAGGCGACUUACUGGACCGUAACUGACGCUGAGUCACGAAAGCGUGGGUAGCAAACAGG